RNAcentral lists this ribosomal RNA (237 nucleotides) under uncultured bacterium. Its description in RNAcentral is "partial 16S ribosomal RNA". It matches the Rfam family "Bacterial small subunit ribosomal RNA", at positions 118 to 347 of the family's 1533-position model. The record is from RNAcentral.
UGGGCAACCUGCCCCGAUGAUCGGGACAACCCGGGGGAAACUCGGGCUAAUACCGAAUGUGCUCUCCUCACAUCAGUGAGGUGCGUAAAGGAAGCUUCGGCCUCCGCAUCGGGAUGGGCCCGCGGCCCAUUAGCUUGUUGGUGAGGUAACGGCUCACCAAGGCCGCGAUGGGUANCUGGUCUGAGAGGACGAUCAGCCACACUGGGACUGAGACACGGCCCAGACCUNUACGGGAGG